RNAcentral lists this long non-coding RNA (212 nucleotides) under Lathyrus oleraceus (garden pea). Its description in RNAcentral is "Pisum sativum (pea) long non-coding RNA (PSAT_LNC019004)". The record is from RNAcentral. Lineage: Eukaryota; Viridiplantae; Streptophyta; Magnoliopsida; Fabales; Fabaceae.
AGAAUUGUAAAAAAUUGCUACAAAAAGAAAAAGAAAAAAAAAAGAGAAAAAGAAAAAGAAAAGCAGUACUCACUGUUAGUUGGUUCAGAGGUAUUUGGCACUGAACUCGGUAGGGCGGAUUACGAUCCGAUCCCACACAACUACAGUUGGGUCCAAUAAAAGGAUUUACACAUAUUUAUGUGCCAGAAAUCCCAUGCUCUGAUCAUAAUCAC